This 180-nucleotide ribosomal RNA is filed under the name Vibrio parahaemolyticus. RNAcentral's name for it is "partial 23S ribosomal RNA". It matches the Rfam family "Bacterial large subunit ribosomal RNA", at positions 1703 to 1866 of the family's 2925-position model. The record is from RNAcentral. Lineage: Bacteria; Pseudomonadati; Pseudomonadota; Gammaproteobacteria; Vibrionales; Vibrionaceae.
GGGUGAAGGAACUGGCAAAAUGGUACCGUAACUUCGGGAGAAGGUACGCUCUCGACGGUGAAGUCCCUCGCGGAUGGAGCUAUUGAGAGUCGCAGAUACCAGGUGGCUGCAACUGUUUAUUAAAAACACAGCACUGUGCAAAAUCGUAAGAAUGACGUAUAAGGUGUGACGCCUGCCCGG